Molecule: ribosomal RNA, 254 nt
Filed under: uncultured bacterium
Lineage: Bacteria
Description: partial 16S ribosomal RNA
Rfam family: Bacterial small subunit ribosomal RNA
Source: RNAcentral
UACGGAGGGUGCGAGCGUUGUCCGGAAUCAUUGGGCGUAAAGGGCGCGUAGGUGGCCCGGUCAGUUCGUGGUGAAAGCGCGGGGCUCAACCCUGCGUCGGCCAUGAAUACUGCCGCGGCUGGAGCACUGUAGAGGCAGGCGGAAUUCCGGGUGUAGCGGUGGAAUGCGUAGAGAUCCGGAAGAACACCGGUGGCGAAGGCAGCCUUCUGGGCCAACACUGACGCUCAUGCACGAAAGCGUGGGGAGCAAACAGG